RNAcentral lists this ribosomal RNA (406 nucleotides) under uncultured bacterium. RNAcentral describes it as "partial 16S ribosomal RNA". It matches the Rfam family "Bacterial small subunit ribosomal RNA", at positions 29 to 526 of the family's 1533-position model. The record is from RNAcentral.
AUUGAACGCUGGCGGCAGGCCUAACACAUGCAAGUCGAACGAGUGGCAGACGGGUGAGUACUGUCUGGGCAACUGCCUGAUGGAGGGGGAUAACUAAUGGAAAAGGUAGCUAAUACCGCAUACCCUCAGAUGGCACCAGGUGGGAUUAGCUAGUGGGUGGGGUAACGGCGCACCAAGGCGACGAUCCCUAGCUGGUCGGAGAGGAUGACCAGCCAAACUGGAACGUAGACACGGUCCAGACUCCUACGGGAGGCAGCAGGGGGGAAUAUGGCAAAAUGGGCGCAAGCCUGAUGCAGCCAUGCCGCGUGUAUGAAGAAGGCCUUCGGGUUGUAAAGUACUUUCAGCGGGGAGGCGUUACCCGCAGAAGAAGCACCGGCUAACUCCGUGCCAGCCGCCGCGGUAAUAC